CCCCCUAGUUGUAUCUUUGGAAUGUGAUACAAAACGAGGAAGCGGUGUGCUUUAGGACCAUGUGGACACCUCUGAGCGGACGGGUAGGCUGUUUGGAGUGUUUAUCCGAGAAAAUAUUAGCUGCGCCCCAGGUUCUCUCUAUGGUCACCCCACAGCAAGGUCACUCAGUUCACUCUCUCUAUGGCCUUUUACGGGAAUUAGCUUUGCAUUUCUUGCGCUCCACAACUUUCACACGUGGACGUUGAAACCAUGGCAUAGAGCCAAAUGAGCACAUACAUUGCAAGACAUAGACGGAGCCAUUGACAGUGCAAAGGCGUCAAGAGGCAAUGUGCAACCUGAACCCAGUACAGGAUAUAUAACAUGACAACACAGCCAAUCUAACUCAUUUUAUAUCCACAUGCUUUGGUCCUGUUGUAAUGUAUCAAGAGGCGUCAGGCUAAGAUUAUCACCUCACACUGAACCCCAAAACUCACCCCGGUGGUGACAGAGUUCAUUUGCUUUAAAGAUGAUGACAUUAAUUUCCCCUUUUGACUCAGAUUAACCCAUUUACGCACACACCCUCAUAAACACACACACACAUUCAGUGUACUGUACACAUUAACAAACAAACACACACACACACACACUGCGGGCACUGUCAUACACACUGCAGUGUCAUAAUCUCCUGGGACAGAGAGAGGGGGAGAGAGCGAUAGAGAGAGAAUGACAGAGAGAGGGGGAGAGAGAGCGAUAGAGAGAGGGAGAGAGAGAGAGCGAGCGAUAGAGAGAGAAUGAUAGAGGGGGAGAGAGUGAUAGAGAGAGAGAGAAAAUGACAGAGGGGGAGAGAGAGUGAGAAUGACAGAGAGAGAGAGAUGGAGAGAGAGAAAGAGAGCGAGAGAGAGAGAUUGAGAGACAGCUAUACAGAGAGAGUGAUAGAGAGAUAAUGACAGACAGAGGGGGAGAGAGAGCGAUAGAGAGAGAAUGAUAGAAGGGGAGAGAGAGAGCAAUAGAGAGAGAGAGACAGAUAGUGAGAGAGAGAGAGAGAGAGAGAUGGAGAUGGAGAGACACAGCUAUACAUAGGGAGUGAGAGAGAGAGAGAGAGAGAAAGAGAUGGAGAUGGAGACACAGCUAUACAUAGAGAGUGAGAGAGAGAGAGAUGGAGAUGGAGACACAGCUAUACAUAGGGAGUGAGAGAGAGAGAGAGAGAGAGAGAGAUGGAGAUGGAGACACAGCUAUACAUAGGGAGUGAGAGAGAGAGAGAGAGAGAAAGAGAUGGAGAUGGAGACACAGCUAUACAUAGGGAGUGAGAGAGAGAGAGAGAGAGAAAGAGAUGGAGAUGGAGAGACACAGCUAUACAUAGAGAGAGAGAGAGAGAGAUGGAGAUGGAGACACAGCUAUACAUAGGGAGAGAGAGAGAGAGAGAGAGAGAUGGAGAUGGAGACACAGCUAUACAUAGGGAGUGAGAGAGAGAGAGAGAGAGAAAGAGAUGGAGAUGGAGACACAGCUAUACAUAGGGAGUGAGAGAGAGAGAGAGAGAGAGAUGGAGAUGGACACACACAGCUAUACAUAGGAGUGAGAGAGAGAGAGAGAGAGAAAGAGAUGGAGACACAGCUAUACAUAGAGAGUGAGAGAGAGAGAGAGAUGGAGAUGGAGACACAGCUAUACAUAGGGAGUGAGAGAGAGAGAGAGAGAGAGAUGGAGAUGGAGACACAGCUAUACAUAGGGAGUGAGAGAGAGAGAGAGAGAGAAGAGAGAUGGAGAUGGAGACACAGCUAUACAUAGGGAGUGAGAGAGAGAGAGAGAGAGAGAAAGAGAUGGAGAUGGAGACACAGCUAUACAUAGGGAUGGAGAUGGAGACACAGAGAGAGAGAGAGAGAGAGAGAUGGAGAUGGAGACACAGCUAUACAUAGAGAGUGAGAGAGAGAGAGAGAGAAAGAGAUGGAGAUGGAGACACAGCUAUACAUAGGGAGUGAGAGAGAGAGAGAGAGAGAAAGAGAUGGAGAUGGAGACACAGCUAUACAUGAGAGAGAGAGAGAUGGAGAUGGAGAGAGAGAGAGAGAAAGAGAUGGAGAUGGAGACACAGCUAUACAUAGGGAGUGAGAGAGAGAGAGAGAGAGAGAUGGAGAUGGAGACACAGCUAUACAUAGAGAGUGAGAGAGAGAGAGAGAGAGAAAGAGAUGGAGAUGGAGACACAGCUAUACAUAGGGAGAGAGAGAGAGAGAGAGAUGGAGAUGGAGACACAGCUAUACAUAGCUAUACAUAGAGAGAGAGAGAGAGAGAGAGAGAGAGAAAGAGAUGGAGAUGGAGACACAGCUAUACAUAGGGAGUGAGAGAGAGAGAGAGAGAGAGAUGGAGAUGGAGACACAGCUAUACAUAGGGAGUGAGAGAGAGAGAGAGAGAGAGAGAUGGAGAUGGAGACACAGCUAUACAUAGGGAGAGAGAGAGAGAGAGAGAGAAAGAGAUGGAGAUGGAGACACAGCUAUACAUAGGGAGAGAGAGAGAGAGAGAGAGAGAAAGAGAUGGAGAUGGAGACACAGCUAUACAUAGAGAGUGAGAGAGAGAGAGAUGGAGAUGGAGACACAGCUAUACAUAGAGAGAGAGAGAGAGAGAUGGAGAUGGAGACACAGCUAUACAUAGAGAGUGAGAGAGAGAGAGAUGGAGAUGGAGACACAGCUAUACAUAGAGAGUGAGAGAGAGAGAGAUGGAGAUGGAGACACAGCUAUACAUAGAGAGAGAGAGAGAGAGAGAUGGAGAUGGAGACACAGCUAUACAUAGAGAGUGAGAGAGAGAGAGAUGGAGAUGGAGACACAGCUAUACAUAGAGAGUGAGAGAGAGAGAGAGAGAGAGAGAGAGAUGAAGAUUGAAGAAUUGAAUUGAAGAAUCCAUAGACUCUAACCACUUCUGGGAAAAUUGGAAAACACUAAACAAACAACAACACGAAGAAUUAUCUAUCCAAAAUGGAGAUGUAUGGGUAAACCACUUCUCCAAUCUUUUUGGCUCUAUAACAAAGAAUAAAGAUCAAAAACAUAUACAUGAUCAAAUACAGAUCUUAGAAUCAACUAUUAAAGACUACCAGAACCCACUGGAUUCUCCAAUUACAUUGAAUGAGUUACAGGACAAAAUAAAAACCCUCCAACCCAAAAAGGCCUGUGGUGUUGAUGGUAUCCUCA
Molecule: long non-coding RNA, 3149 nt
Organism: Oncorhynchus tshawytscha (Chinook salmon)
Lineage: Eukaryota; Metazoa; Chordata; Actinopteri; Salmoniformes; Salmonidae
Source: Ensembl